GUCUGUGUGUGUGUGUGUGUGUGUAUGGACUCAGCAGUCUGUGUGUGUGUGUGUGUGUGUGUAUGGACUCUACUGAGUCCACACACAGACACACAGAAUGCUGAGUCCAUACACACACAGACACACAG
This is a non-coding RNA of Pelobates cultripes (western spadefoot toad), 128 nucleotides long. The record is from the annotation of a GenBank genome assembly. Lineage: Eukaryota; Metazoa; Chordata; Amphibia; Anura; Pelobatidae.